CAGCCGUAAACUAUGCUCGCUAGGUGUCAGGCAUGGCGCGACCGUGUCUGGUGCCGCAGGGAAGCCGUGAAGCGAGCCACCUGGGAAGUACGGCCGCAAGGCUGAAACUUAAGGAUUGGCGGGGGAGCACCACAACAGGUGGAGCCUGCGGUUUAAUUGGACUCAACGCCGGGAAGCUCACCGGAUAGGACAGCAGAAAUGAUUGCCGGGCUGAAGACCCUGCAUGACUAGCUGAGAGGUGGUGCAUGGCGUAGACGU
RNAcentral lists this ribosomal RNA (258 nucleotides) under uncultured archaeon. RNAcentral describes it as "partial 16S ribosomal RNA". It matches the Rfam family "Archaeal small subunit ribosomal RNA", at positions 748 to 1007 of the family's 1478-position model. The record is from RNAcentral.